GAAAAAAAGAAGAAAAGCCUAGCAGAGCUGGAGAGCGGGGCACCAAGGCACAAAGUUAGCACUGCUUGAAACCGACAUUUCCAAGCAAGUGCCCGUGGAUGCUUCCAAGAUGGUGAUCUGGUUAUUUCCAGGGCUGGAGUCCUCAGGGACCUCUUUUCAUGUUUGGCCAUUUCUGGUUGGCUCUCAUCCAGCUGCUGCCUGCCUGCUGCACUCCAGGCCAACUGGGAGCAGCAUUCUACAGGAUCAAGGAUCACAGGAACACCCAAUCCUUGGCCCUGGUCCCCUAGAAGCUCCAGGCCUUCACUGGUGUCCAAUGGGCCUGAGGGGGCAGAAUCAGGCCCAGGAAGAUGGAUUUCCCCGGUCCCCUCAGCCCCAACCCAGCAGGGGAGGGAGAAGACUGCUUCAUUAUGUUUAAUGGGAUUAUUGGGGGGGAUAGUAGUCAUGGGGCAUUAGCUGCUAAUUGGGUCCAUAAUAAAGUUAAUAAAGCUCUUA
Long non-coding RNA from Prionailurus viverrinus (fishing cat), 492 nucleotides. RefSeq lists it as uncharacterized. Lineage: Eukaryota; Metazoa; Chordata; Mammalia; Carnivora; Felidae. The transcript has 4 exons. The record is from RefSeq and is a predicted model, not a curated record.